Molecule: long non-coding RNA, 574 nt
Organism: Talpa occidentalis (Iberian mole)
Lineage: Eukaryota; Metazoa; Chordata; Mammalia; Eulipotyphla; Talpidae
Exons: 3
Source: RefSeq, a predicted model, not a curated record
AAUGUUGCCAAUCCAAGCUACCCUUUGAAAGUCAGGGAAUAACCUACAGCUGUGUGGAAAAGCCUUUUCUGUCUACAAAAUACAAGGAGUCUGAGGGGCAAAUGGUCAUGAAACUAGAAAAUCUGCAAUUUUCCCUCAGAAUUGAAAAUUCUGCUGUUCAUCAGACUAUAUUCUUCCAAGCCAGAGUGAGAUGAGGAAUCUUCACCAACACCUGCAGAGACACAUUCUAUUCCUGAAUGGAAGGAGGUGUCCGCUGCAACACAGGAAGGAGAGGAAUCUCCAUGCAUAAGGAUGAAUGUAUCAUGGUUUUGGUGAAGCUGGUGGUAGAAGUAACAAAUCCACCUCACUGUUAGAGUCAUCACCUGCAAGGACACAGUGGGGAAAAGUGACAAAGACAUGGUUUCUACAAUAAAGCAAGACUACCCCAAUGAAAAACUUACCUUCAGAGAAUGGCCCUUUGCUAACAGGUAGGUGAAAAGGCUCUUUGUCUGGAGAUUCUUGUUUCAGAGAGUAACUGGAAUCAUUCACUCCCAAAACCAUUCCCGAGAUAUCAUCUGAGGAGGAGAAAAUAAAA